Non-coding RNA from Potamilus streckersoni, 67 nucleotides. The record is from the annotation of a GenBank genome assembly. NCBI's taxonomy places the organism in Eukaryota, Metazoa, Mollusca, Bivalvia, Unionida, Unionidae.
GUGGCCUAGUGGCUAGAGCUUCCGUCUAAAAUGCCGAAGGUUGCGGGUUCGAACCCCGGCCAAGUCA